Molecule: non-coding RNA, 1504 nt
Organism: Macaca mulatta (Rhesus monkey)
Lineage: Eukaryota; Metazoa; Chordata; Mammalia; Primates; Cercopithecidae
Source: RefSeq, a predicted model, not a curated record
CUAGGGCCUCCGGCCCCCUCCUUUUCCGAGCGCAUCCCGCACUCUCCGCGGAGCCGCAACCGUCAGCCCUCGACGAAACCUCGCGAGAGCUCGACAGCCCCCGCCCCGCCCCUCCUCGGGCUGCGAUGCUCGGGGCCGCCCACGAAGGGGCCGGGAAGCUGCGGGACGGGUCGGGGUCGGGGUCGGGGUCGGGGUCGUGACCUCCGGCCACACAGCCUAGCUCUCCGCGGGGCCGGGCGGACCCUCAGGGAGCGGCGGCCGAGGUUUAGGGCGGCCCCGGAAGCAGAGCGCCGGCGGCUUUGGUCUGGUCGUGGUGAGAGGAGAUCGCGGACGAGCCGCCUUCCCAGCCCAGCACCGUUUUUAUCCCCCUCCCCCAGGCUCUCUGUGGCCGGGGCUCCAUCAGAGCUGGUCAUGUUAUUAGGCUGGGAUAAUAAAAAGGACUGUUGAACUUCACAUCUGCCAUCUAUAACACAUUCUUAAUGAAGCAAUCUUGCACCAGGGGAUUUAUCAACUCUGCCAAAUUUCCUAAAAUUACCAAAUGGAGAAAAAAGAGCUGGUCCCGCCUCUCACCAGGCACAACCAGCACAGUAUCUGACUUUCACUGUGAUGACUGCAGACAGGAUGGGGUCUGAACGCUGGUCUUCAGCGCACCAUACAACAGUGCUAGACCCUCAACUGUAUGAAGGGGAAGAAAGCCCUCCUUAAAAGAUUUACUGGAGUUAACACCUGGGGAUCCUCAAGAAAUGAACGCUACCACUGUUCUGCUUCAGAAGUUUGGAACCAAAACUGCAAUGUCCCCAAGACAUGCCUGUAGGUACACCAGUCCAUACUGAUAAAUGACUGAAUAAACAGGAGAGAAGAAACAAAUCUUCAAGAAGAAUAACAUGCACAGAUACUGCUCUCUCCCGGGGUUGGAGCUUAAACCUCCUCAACCCACAGAGUAUGGAAAGGGAAAAGCAGGAACUUGACAGUGGAGAAACCUGGCAGACACCACUGUGACCAGGUGGCCAAGGUGAGCACUGCCUGGGAUAGGUGAUGUGGUGGUUACAACCACCCAGCAGGAUGUGAUGCGAAAGGUGCUUGAGAAACAUCAGACCAACUCCAAUGGAGGGACAUUCUUCAGACUGCCUGGCCAGUACUCCUCAGAACUGUCAGGGUCAUGAGACACAAGGGAAGUCUGAGGAACUGUCACAGGCGAGAGACCGCAAAGGAGACGGGAUGACUAAAUGUAGUGUGUGCCUGGAUGGGACUCUGGGACAGAAAGCAGACAUUAGGGAAAAACUGGUGAAAUCCAAAUAAAGGCUGGAUUUUAGUUAAUGGUAACUACCAACGUUGGUUUCUUAGUCAUGACAAAUGUUCCAUGGUAACGUAAGAGGUUAACAAUGGGGGAAACUGGGUGAGGGGCACAUAGAAGCUCUCUGUACUCUCUCUGCCAUUUUUCUGUAAAUCUCAAAUUAGACCAAAAUAAAAGUUUAUUGGAAAAGAAAAAUAAAAAAAAAGACAU